Molecule: long non-coding RNA, 5760 nt
Filed under: Nicotiana tabacum (common tobacco)
Lineage: Eukaryota; Viridiplantae; Streptophyta; Magnoliopsida; Solanales; Solanaceae
Description: long non-coding RNA (NTAB_LNC011356)
Source: RNAcentral
ACAAAUACUACACUAGUCUUUUUUUCAUCUGGUGUGAAACUUUAAAGACAACUUAUUAAUAAUCAAAUAUGUAUUGUAAUUUAACAUCUUGAAAAAAAAAUAAAGAAAGGAUCUGAUCAUUUAACUUAACUAUGUCCAUAACUAGCGAGGCAAAGCGCAGUCAUGGCUAUGGGCGCCGCUCCGAUGUCUUUUCCGGCUAUCACCGGACUCCCACCGGCAUCGGAAAUGAAAUCUCAACUCUCCAUCUCAUUUAGGUACUUCCGACUUUCCAUUUCCAUCUAUAAAAUCUAAUUGCACAUUUCUCUCGAAAUCCAAUAGGAAAAUCGUCCUGAAUUCUAUCAGCUUGACUUAUUAAGCAUCUGAUGAUUUUUCCGUCAAACUAUAUACAAGUGAUCAUUUUCUCGCAAAGCACCCAAAUCCUCCAUUGGGAAGCCAUCUGCCAUGACAAUUGUACUUCCUCUUUUUCGAAAUCUUUUUUCUGCAUCCACAAAAAUUAUUGUAAUUCCUCUCUUGCAUUCUUAUUCCUUGACAAUGCAAUCAUUGAUGUUAAUUUCGUAUUAGAGAAUGGAUUUGUUGAGAGUAUUGGCUAAAUAUCACUGCUUCACAAGCUGAAGUCCAGUAGACUAAGUACUUAGGCUUACCUGCUAUUAUUAGGAGAUCUUCAACUGACUCAGGUAGAUGUAUUAAUUUUCCUGCAAUUCCUCCUUCAUUUGGUUUGUCAUGUGGAUGAUGUCCAUGUAUUAUAACCCUAGUGGGGAGUGUUGUUGUGGUAAUUCCUGUAAAAUUAUAAUUUAUUGAAAGAUGUUUUAGGGUUUCCUAACCAAAAAUUUCAUUGUAUUAUACUCCUUAAGUCAUGCAAAACUAAAAGGCAAAUACAAGCAACCCAUAGUCAAAGACUAAAUCUUAGUUGUCUAAGUGAGAUUCAACUCAUGAAUUUAAACUGGAAAUGCCCAUUUUGUAAACUGCAAAUUCUGGUCAAACUUUUAAAGAAGCAUUUUGGCUUUUUACGGGAGUUUUUCCACAUUGAUAGAAUUACUUACUUUAUCAAAAAGAAAAAAGGGCAUGUCGACAACCCAAAACAUUUCAAGUUUUUUCAAUUUCAAACUUAUUACAUGUCUGCAGAAAACUAAAACGUUGCUUAUUUGAGUAAAAUAGUAGUAUAAGGUCAAAUGCAGAUGCAGGUAGAAUGUAGCUAAGAAGUUUUCAAAAUAACCAGGGGUUAUGUCCAUCAAAUUUCACCAUUCUAUGUUCCUUAAAAUUUUACAUACUCUGCAAAGUUUCAUAGUCACAUUUAUGGCAUAUAUGAUACGAUCUUUGGUAUAUUUUGAUGCCAAUUGUCCACGCUUGCUGUCAGCACAUAUAUCUUACUCACAUUGUGAGAUAUUAAUAACGGAACAGUUCUAGGUGAGGCAUAAGCUUACUAUUUCCGUCUUGGCUUUGUCCUUCAUGAUUUUGUCCCCUACUCAUUGUACUCACCUGCAAGAGAAUGAAGCAUUAAUCAUCAUAGAAAUUGGAUAAAAGUUCAAGUGGAUAAGAUUUUGGAAGCCUUUCAUUUGCCUGACUGUGCUUCUUGCUUUGCUUCGCUAGUGUUCACUGUUGCACAAGAUUUUGCAACUUUAUUAUGUUAGAUUUGGAAAUCAUUAUUGUUGUAUUGUCAACCGGUCAUUGUCAAACCUUUCUAGGAAUAUCUUUUCCCCUGUUUUUUUAGGAUAUCAAAAAAGGGUAACCUUGUUUGUUACCGUUGAAGGUACAAGAUGAUGGAUAAAAAGUUUGUCUUAUUCAUUACUGAGAUAGACGUAUAUUUCAUUGUUUGGUAUGACAAAAGUCAUUUUCAAUGGAAAACAUUUUCCUGGAAAAUGUUUGUGUUUGGUUAGUGAGUGCAAAAUAUAUUUUCUGGAAAAAAGUAUAUCUUAAAGAUUAAUAAUGAUAUUAACAAGGGUGUUUGGAUGAAAAAUUUGAGUAUUAACGAAUAAUAAUAUUCCCUCCGUUUCAAUUUAGAUUAUGUAGUUUGAUUUGACAUAAGGUUUAAGAAAAAAAAAGAAGACUAUUGAAAUAUAUGGUCCUAAAAGCUUAAGGGGCAAAAGCUUCGUGGGGCCAUGAUAUUUUUGGCUAUAAAAGCUUCUCAUUAAGGGUAAAGUGGGUAAAAUAAAAAGUUUAAAGUGAAAUUGUUACCAAAUAUAAAAAUGUGUCAUUCUUUUUGGAACAGACUAAUAAGUAAAGUGUGUCAUUUAAAUUGAAACAAGGGGAGUAAUAUCUAAGUAUUAGUUGGAGCAUGUAAUAUGAAGUUGAAAGUUAAGAUAGUUGUAAAGAAAAUGACUUUUCCUCUAAGUGAGGUAAGUUGUAUUUCCCUUUUGUGGGAAAUAUUUUCCUUGAAUGAGGAAAAUGAGGAAAAUCAUAAGUUAAGAUAGUUGUAAGGAAAACAGCAUCUACUGAUAAGUUAGGUAGUAACUCUCCGGAAAACAUUUUAUGGUAACCAAACACUAAGGAGAUGACUUUCUCAUUGGAAACAUUUCUUUGGAAAAUCCCUUUCUUCAUGCCACUCUUCAGGAGUCUUGAGUGGGGAAGGUAAUAAUAUCUGCUCAUUUGGGAAUGAGGGGAAAAUCCAGGUUCAAGUGGCAAAGGUAGAGGGACUUGUGACGUAGGUCACAAGUUCAAGCUCCGAGCCAUAUGAAUUAAUCGUGGUAUUUAUGUGGUGAAGGGUGUGUGUAAUCCCCGAGUUUCGGAGGCUGCGGUAAGUCCUAAAGGUUCAUCCCAGAAGAAUCUCUCAGUCAUCCAAAAAAAAAAAGGAUCAAGCCAAGUUCAAGUACUUGCUCAGUUUAAUGCCAUAGAUUUUGCUAGUUUAUUGCAAAGGAUUACCUCACUAUUCACGUCACUGAGCAGCUGUGAUAUGAGUGGUAUCUCUUGUAGCUCUUCCUUUUCCAUUCCUUUAAGAUUCUGAUUUAUAUCAUGUCACAAGACCAUGAUGUGAGUAUGAAUACAGAGAUAACUAACAUAAGAGCUAAUCUGAUGAGCUGUCAUCUAAUGGAAAAUGCCAUUACCAGCUCAGUGUUACUGACGCUCAGAUCUUCGAGCAUAGGGUGCACGAAACUUUAAUAACUAGCUUGUCACUGGGGAUGUUAUGAUGUUCAAGACUAGCAACUAAAAGCUACCACAGUACCUGAAGAAAAUUGGAGAGGAUUAUCUUUCCAUCUGCGUUAAGGGGCUGCACCAGUUGCUUGAAAUGAUGAUGGCUGAUUCGAACAACCUGAGAAAGUCUCUUACUUCUCACGGUAAAAGGCUGGGGCGUAUUAAAGAUAACACCUACUUCACCGAACAAUUCUGGGGACUCCAACUUUGACAGGAACUGUUCAGCAGAAAGGAGAAACUUUUUUAAGAAAAGAACUCUCUGAUUAAUUGGAGAUUUUCAUACUAUGAUAAAUGUUGGCUUAAUUGACCAAUGAAUGGUAUAAUGUAAGUAGAGGUUGUCUGGUUCGAGUUAGCAUCACUUUUCGAUAACUUUUAUGAUUGAACAUGCAAUUUAUUACCAACAAUGGUUAGGUUACAUAACUGUCAUGUUUUAAGUUAAAACAACAAUUGACAGCAUCUGCUCACAUAUCAUUCAAUAAUGGUUUGUUAUGAUGUAUCUUGAUUUGUUCAGUAGAUAAUAAAUGACAUUUCAGAUUGUUGGAUGCAGCUAAAAAGGUACAUUGAGAAAGUUACAUCUAGUCGCACUUAGCUAUGCAGUUUCUAAUUUAAUAGAUGUGAAAUCCUUGUCAACUGAUCAUUAAUCUAGACAUUAUAGUCGAAUGAACUCUCAACAUUAUACGCUUUUCACCCUCUCUCGAUUAGUUUAAGAGUUAUUCUUUUAUAGCCUCUACCACAAAGCUUAUAGCCUCUGCUGGUCAUGGGCAUGUCGUUGAUCUGUUUCAUUACUUCUGAGUCAAAGAGUCUGUUUAUCUCAAUGUACGGUAUUAGUUCAAGUGUCAAACAGUUUUGGUGAGUAAAGCUAUUUUUGUGAUUUGUCUGUUAUACCCAUAUUAUUUUAGCUAUCAGGCUUUACAUAAGAAAAGUAGCAUUUGUUUCCUGAUAAUUCACUUCCUCGAGCUGAGAAUUUCUCCUAGAUCAAGCUUGAUAUGUAGUUUAAAUAUCCUUUAGGCACUGUCCUCAUUGUUAUAAGAUGGUUUCCACCAGCUUUCAAGAUCUUUAUGGCAAACUUUUGAUGUAAUUGAUGUUCAUAUAUCCUACUUAAGCUUCUUGUCGUGCUUAAUGUCUGAAGUUUGUUUAAACUAAUAUAGAGGUUCUGUAAUCUCUUGUUAAAUACUGAUAAAUGUAAGAAAUGUGAUUGGUUUGAAUUUGACAAUAUAUGAGAAAGUACACUUAUUAGAAUAGAUUAGAUUGUUCUCUCGAACUAUUUCUAGCAACCAAACGAUACUCAUCUUCUGUUCUCUUUUUCUCUAGAAUAGUUGAAAUCAGUAUGCACCGAUUUUUUUUUCUCAUUUUCAAAAAAAAAAAGUAUUCACCGUGGACUUUCUGACCCUGUAGUCUCCGGGCACUUGGAUAUAAAUACUUAUUCCUUCGCUUCUUCAUCCUUUAAAGUUAGCCAACUUUUACUUGGUCUAGCAAUGACUAGGACGGCAAAGAAAAAUUAGGAGCAGCAUCAAACAAUAUGAGAAUGUGAUAACUAACCUGUUCCAUUCCAUUCUUGUAUGUAACCACUUCCUGCAGUUUUCAACCAGUGACCAGUUAACUGUGUAGGAGUAGUAAGAGCAAAAGUUGACGGGAAUGGCACGUACCACAGCUCCAGAGACAAUAAUGUAGAAAUCUGUUGGUAUCUCAUUUUGAAUAACAAUGUCAACUUUUGGUGGAAAGUAUUCUGCUUUUAUCUCGGAAACCUGUAAGAUCAAAAAUCGAAGGGCAUAGCUUAGUUAUGUGGAGCUGUUUAGGUUAAAUAUUCUGCUUUUAGUAGGCAGGUAAGAGAAUGCAUCACCAACUGGACUAUGAAGUCUUCAGAAACCCCUUUGAAAAGGUAGGUAUUUUCAAGUGUUGUAUGGAAGAGAUAUUGUGCAAUGCUACAUCUUAUUGCCUUGGGUAAGUCUCUUAUUACUUCCUCUUGCUGUAGUUCUGCAGUCUUGAAUUUGAGAGUCAAAUGUGCUGACAUUUGCUCUUUUAUACCUUCUGGAAGUCUAUUCUUGCUUGCAUAUCUCAGUGUCUUAUUGAUGGCAUCCCGCUGCAAUUAAAAACUGAUUAUCAUAUUGUUUUUAGAACUGAGACUUGAAAUGUAGAUUGCUUAAACUGUACUCUCAUUUUUCUUUUAAGGUGUCACUACCACAGCGAAGGUCCGAGCAAUGCCAUGAACAAUAAGAUUGGUCAUGUUGCCAAUUAAGUAGGCAGUGAGACCAAUGUUGAAAAGCAUGUAGAAGAUGGAGAAAACCUUCUCUCCUGUAUUAUGUGCACGGAGAUCGCCAUAGCCGACUGUGGUGAGAGUAGCAACAGACCAAUACAUGGAAUAUGUGUAUCCUAGAGAGAUACUUCUUUCUUGGAAAUUAGUAACAUUUGACCCAAUCCAGGUAUUCUCUGCAGUAUGAUAAUGAGUUGCUAGCCAGUAAUAUAAACAUCCAACAGAAUGCACUGCGAAUAAGGUCACCUAUGACAGAAUUAUAGCCAUAAGAUGGACGGUUACUUGAAGAAAAGAACCUGUAUAUCUGCAGGAUCAGGUAAAGUUGGAAAACGAAAGUGCUUACACAGAUUAGUUUACAGAAUCUUGUCCAGAAGUAGCUGAAC